Molecule: ribosomal RNA, 465 nt
Filed under: uncultured bacterium
Lineage: Bacteria
Description: partial 16S ribosomal RNA
Rfam family: Bacterial small subunit ribosomal RNA
Source: RNAcentral
CCUACGGGAGGCAGCAGUGGGGAAUAUUGCGCAAUGGGCGAAAGCCUGACGCAGCGACGCCGCGUGAGGGAUGAAGGUCUUCGGAUCGGAAACCUCCGUCAGCAGGGAAGAACGGUCACUGUGCUAAUCAGCAGUGAAUUGACGGUACCUGCAAAGGAAGCACCGGCUAACUCCGUGCCAGCAGCCGCGGUAAUACGGAGGGUGCGAGCGUUAAUCGGAAUUACUGGGCGUAAAGCGCGCGUAGGCGGUAGGUCAAGUCAAGGGUGAAAUCCCCGGGCUCAACGUGGGAACUGCCUUUGAUACUGGCCAACUGGAGUGUGGUAGAGGAUAGCGGAAUGCCUGGUGUAGGGGUGAAAUGCGUAGAGAUCUGGAAGAACAUCAGUGGCGAAGGCGACUAACUGGGCCAUAACUGACGCUGAGGAGCGAAAGCGUGGGUAGCAAACAGGAUUAGAUACCCCUGUAGUC